RNAcentral lists this long non-coding RNA (5048 nucleotides) under Brassica napus (rape). Its description in RNAcentral is "long non-coding RNA (BNAP_LNC025090)". The record is from RNAcentral. Lineage: Eukaryota; Viridiplantae; Streptophyta; Magnoliopsida; Brassicales; Brassicaceae.
CCUCGAGAAGUUUUAUUUUAUCUUUCAUAACAGCAACUUCUUUAGCUCCUACUGUACUUCCUUUGUUGUUGUUUCUUUGCGCGGUUUUGGUUAAGUUGUUAAACGCGAUUCUGCUUUCCUUGAGCUUCUUCUCAAGGUUAGCUAUUGCUUCUUCUUUCUUCUUCAUCUCACCUUUCACUUGUGUUACUUGCUUCUUGUGCUUCUCCAUCUCCGAAUCAUUCUCUGAGAAUAAAUGAUUUAGGUCAUCAAACUUGGCUCUCACGGUUUCUAGUUCUGUCUGUAAGUGUGUAAUUGCUGCUUUUUUUUCUGAAUUUUUCAUGAAUUUUUUUUUGAAUUUUUCUGUCACUUUUCUCUCUUCUCUCUCUGAUUUUUCUGUGUUUCCCACUGGUUUCUGCACGACCAAACUGGUGGAGAAAGAGUUAAAUACGUCAGGAAGUUCCUUCAGGUGAGGGUUUCACAAAACACAAGGCAUGGCUGGGAGGAGACAAGUGGUGACCUGUUUCAUUACUUCCAGCAGCAAGCAGCUGCCCUUUCCCUCCCAUGAAGAAAAUUCAAGCAGGUGUGUCUUGCACAUGACUGAUCAUUCAACAAGAAGGCAGGCAAGAAGGUGCAUGGUACAUGGUACAUGACUGGUACAGCCAGCAAGCAAGCACACAAGCUGGUGCAACUCACAUGACUGAUUUAAAUUAACAAGCAGCUCAAACUAUUCCUAGUCAGUUCUCGACCAAACUUUUUCUCGUCCAUCGAAUCUUGUCUUGAUUUUAUAUAAAAUCUUCCAGCUUGAAUAAAACUUGACCACAAUAAUUAAAACUCAACCAGAACUAUCAAGAGUAGGUAUUUUGGCCACAAGACAUUCCCGUCGAGAAUAAUUCACCGGGUCGAUUUUUAUUUUUAAUUUUGGUUACUCCAAAUUGGUUGAGUGGAAUUUUUCUCGACCAAAAUUCUAUCUGCUUGUGAGGAUUAUUACAAAGAGUCUUGCAGGGAAGCUACAAUACCUCACUUUGACGCGGCCUAACAUUAAAUUCGCCGUCAACUAUGUCUGUCAGAAGAUGCAUGCUCCAACAGUAUCCGACUUCACUCUCCUGAAAAGAAUUCUCAGAUAUGUUAAGGCACACUAACGAGGGGAAUUUCACUUCAUAAAGACACUGAUUUCGCCCGCAAUGCCUACAGUAACAGUGAUUGGGCAGGCUGCAACACCACUCGCAGAUCUACUGGUGGGUUCAGCACGUUUCUAGGUAAAACCCUUAUCUUUUGGUCUUCCCGCAAGAAACCUACGGUGUCUAAGAGCUCAACUGAAUCAGAGUAUCGAACUUUACCUGGUUGUGCUCGAUCUUUCGUGAGUUGGGAAUUCUGCUUCUUACAACUCCAUUGCUGCUGUGUGACAAUUUAUCGGCGGUCUUGUUAUCUGUGAAUCCUUCAUUUCACUCUCGCACCAAGCACUUUGCUCUCGAUUAUCACUAUGUUAGAGAGAGAGAUGCUUGGGAGCCUUGGAAGUGAGACACAUCCCUAAUCAUCAGCAGAGUGCCGACAUAUUCACCAAAUCUCUUCCGUUUGAAGCUUUCUCGACUCUUCGUGACAAACUCGGCGUCGACUCAAUCGACACACCUAGUUUGAGGGGGCCUAUCAGCCAAUCUGCUCCAAGCCCAUCAAAUAAUUCUCAACUCAAGCCCAACUUGAACCCCACAAGUCAGACAUCGCCAAAAGCUUCUCAACAGUCGUCUUCACCAGGCUACAAACAAGAAAAAAUCGUUAGUACACAGGCAGCACAGCUAAAGCAAAUGCAAAAGCACAUCACAGCUGGCGAAGCACAGCCUGUCUCUAACAGAAAUCGAUUUGCAGCAUUCCAAGACAAUGAAGACCAAUGUUGAAAGCCCUAGCUAUUUCUAUCUAUAAAUACAUUGUUAAGUUGUAAUAAAAAACUAAGAAAGCAAUAACAAAGAGCAAAAGACUCACUUUUCUUGCAAAACUCUGUCUACUUUAUGAUACCAUGAUAACAUUUAUGAAACUAGAAAGAUAGAGCUGAUAAGAGCUAUUAUUGAAAGAUAGAAAUAGCUUGUAAAAGCUUUAUUAUAUGCAAGUAAAGAGAAUGAAAGCUUUAGAGUUGUCUUCAAGAACACAAAGAUUCUAUUGAUAUCAUAAGAGUUUAGAGAAAGAGGCUACUUUAAGUGGCAGCCAAAGUUGCAUUCAUCAAAGCACAUAACAACAUAUAAAUGAAUCUAGAAACCCUAGUUACAUGGGUUACAAAAGUCUCUAAUAGAUCAUAAACUUGGGCUUUAGGUUGGGGUUCAAUACUCUCCUGCAAACUUGGCGUCGGGUGCAAGCAAGAAGCCAAGUUUGAAGAUGCAAAUGAGUGAAGCUUUGGCAGGAUCAGGAGCAAGUAAUCUGAGAUCAUUAGCAAGUAGGUUGAUGACUCUAUCUAGCUUGGAGAAUAGACAUAAAUAUGAGAACAUUUUCAGGUUCUUUUGACCUAUUUGUCUCACAACAAGUUGGGGAUUUUUUUUUCUUCUUAUCCUUGUAACUGGACUAAGCUAUCUCACAGCCAAAGAGAAUAUCAAUCCUACAACAGCCUAAACCCAACUCUCUAUUCCUAUUCAUCUGCCACCAAAACUCCUCAUUUUCACAAUCUGUUUUUCUCUUGGACAUUUAACCAAACAUCUUGUGUGCACUCAUCAAAAACAAAACUUGUUGCCAUUUAUCUCAUCAUUAUCAAACCCAUAACUAGCCUAUUCAUUCUCCUUCCAGAUUCCAAGCCUAUAUCACUAACUCAUUCAUAACAUACCAGAAGAUAUGCGCUGAUGAAGAGACAUGAAGGAGCUUCCCUUGCUUUUGUUCCCACAAGCUUCUUCUCGUUUCCGUUUCCAUAUUUUUCUUUUUUUUUACAGAUGGGCUUUUAUCUGGAAGACCCAAUAACAUGUCGAUUUGCUGGAGCCCAACUUUCUCUUCUUCUUCGAUUGGACUAUCUUCUUCUGGUUUUUUUUAUCAAGUAACCCUGGUGGAAAGAGUAGAGCUUGGACCUUAAAUUUCACUGUCAUAUCAACACAGAUCUGCAUCACCAUUGCAGAAAGUCUCUUCCUUUUCUUUGGAUUUCGUGCAUGAACCGACAGAUUGUCUUGGGAUGGUUUAGAUAGAGUGUGCAGAAGCUAAAAGAGAAUAGGGUAACCCAUAAAAAUCGACUGAAGCUCUGAUACCAUGAAAAUAGACAGAAUUUUGCAAGAAAGAUGAGUCUUUUGCUCUUUGUUAUUGAUUUCUUAGUUUCUUAUUACAACUUAACAAUGUAUUUAUACAUAGUAACAGCUAGGGCUUUCAACAUUGGUCUUCAUUGUCUUGGAGUGCUGCAAACCGAUUUCUGUUAGAGACAGGCCGUGCUUGGCCAGCCGUGAUGUGCUUUUGCUUUAGCUGUGCUGCCCGUGUACUAACGAUUUUGUCUUCUUUGUAGCCUGGUGAAGACGACCGUUGAGAAGCUUUUGGCCUGUCUGAUUUUUGGGCUUCAAGUUGGGCUUGAGUUGAGAAUUAUCCGAUGGGUUUGGAGCAGAUUGGCUGAUACGGUUGAAAUCCUUUGGCAACCGUUCGGUCAACUAAAGUCUCAUCAUCUUAGCAAGCGUACCUAAAGCCAGAUGGAGUUGAGAGGAGCUGCAGAAACAGUUUAGUGAACUCGAUAAUGGAAGGGAGAGGACGAGACUUCACCAUCUCACUGAACAAACCAACCGCAUCUUCUAACUUAAUAUCAGUAAGCCCAUUUCUCAAUUUCUCUCUGUAAUCAUCACUGAGAGCAGAGAAAUCUCGUUUCGUGCAACGAAAGUUAAAGGAUAGAGGAGCACUUCUAGGAUAAUGGAAGAAUCUCUUCGGCUUCGUCAAUCGCAAUUGCUCUCCUCAUCUUAUGAAUUUUGGCUUCGGCAAACCCUAAACAAACUUAGCAGGCGAGCGAGCGAGCGAGCGAGCAAGGGGGAGAGGGAAAGAGAAGGGAAGACGACGACAAUACGACGUCGUUGAAUACGAACCGGUUUAUUUCAAAAACAAAUUAACUAACCAGGAACCGGUCCGAGUAUUCCGAUCCAGAAUUGGGAACACUUUUGAGCGUUGGGAUACAACAGCGUUUGUAUCGUACAAGUAAUCAAAACGACUAGAGAGCUGAAACUUAUGCAAAUUACUUAGAAAACAUAAACAAAGUGUAAUUACAUAAACAAGAAACAAAGUGAUUACAUAUACUUCCUUUUUUUUUUAUAAACCUGAAAACCGGUUCUGAUAUAUACCGGUUUAGCUCCUCUUGGCGUUUUUGAGAUUACGUACUGUCAUAACAAGCUGUUGUCUCUCGCCUUCCACUUCUGCAAAUCUCAGACUUAGCUCUGAGUAUCUCUCUUGCAUCUCCUUCAGCUCCAUCUCCAUCGUUUCAUUACAUUCUCUCAAUAACGCCAUCUCCGCUUCCAGAACUCGGACUUCUUCCUUUUCAUGGUUAUCUUUAUUAAUAACCUCUAGGCUGUUCUGGUCGAGACUAGUUUCCAGCUCCUCGAUUCUGUUCUUCAGAUUCUUCUCCUUUUCGAUGAACAUGUUUGAUGAAGCUUCAAGAGCAGUCUCCUUCAGUUUUAUUUGCCCCUAGAUCAUACAACAACAUCAAUAGUUCAAGAGUGUAUCAUUAGACUUGAAGAUAUUAAUUAUGAAUAUUUACCUCGAGAAGUUUUAUUUUAUCUUUCAUAACAGCAACUUCUUUAGCUCCUACUGUACUUCCUUUGUUGUUGUUUCUUUGCGCGGUUUUGGUUAAGUUGUUAAACGCGAUUCUGCUUUCCUUGAGCUUCUUCUCAAGGUUAGCUAUUGCUUCUUCUUUCUUCUUCAUCUCACCUUUCACUUGUGUUACUUGCUUCUUGUGCUUCUCCAUCUCCGAAUCAUUCUCUGAGAAUAAAUGAUUUAGGUCAUCAAACUUGGCUCUCACGGUUUCUAGUUCUGUCUGUAAGUGUGUAAUUGCUGCUUCUUUUUCAUCCUUGAUACGCUUCACCGCUUGCAACUCCUCUGCUAGAGACUCUGAUUCCUCCCUCAUUGACUCAAUCCUGCUCUCU